This 358-nucleotide ribosomal RNA is filed under the name uncultured Methanosaeta sp. RNAcentral describes it as "bacterial SSU rRNA". It matches the Rfam family "Archaeal small subunit ribosomal RNA", at positions 981 to 1338 of the family's 1478-position model. The record is from RNAcentral. Lineage: Archaea; Methanobacteriati; Methanobacteriota; Methanomicrobia; Methanotrichales; Methanotrichaceae.
GGAGAGGUGGUGCAUGGCCGUCGUCAGUUCGUACUGUGAAGCAUCCUGUUAAGUCAGGCAACGAGCGAGACCCACGCCCACGGUUGCCAGCGCACUCUCUGGAGUGACGGGUACACUGUGGGGACCGCCGCUGCUAAAGCGGAGGAAGGAAUGGGCAACGGUAGGUCAGUAUGCCCCGAAUAUCCCGGGCUACACGCGAGCUACAAUGGUUGGUACAAUGGGUAUCUACCCCGAAAGGGGACGGGAAUCUCCUAAAACCAAUCUUAGUUCGGAUUGAGGGCUGCAACUCGCCCUCAUGAAGCUGGAAUCCGUAGUAAUCGCGUUUCAACAGAACGCGGUGAAUACGUCCCUGCUCCUU